Molecule: ribosomal RNA, 465 nt
Filed under: uncultured bacterium
Lineage: Bacteria
Description: partial 16S ribosomal RNA
Rfam family: Bacterial small subunit ribosomal RNA
Source: RNAcentral
CCUACGGGGGGCAGCAGUGGGGAAUAUUGCGCAAUGGGCGCAAGCCUGACGCAGCGACGCCGCGUGAGGGAUGAAGGUCUUCGGAUCGUAAACCUCUGUCAGCAGGGAAGAACGGUCACUGUGCUAAUCAGCAGUGAAUUGACGGUACCUGCAAAGGAAGCACCGGCUAACUCCGUGCCAGCCGCCGCGGUAAUACGGAGGGUGCGAGCGUUAAUCGGAUUUACUGGGCGUAAAGCGCUCGUAGGCGGUAUGUCAAGUCAAGGGUGAAAUCCCCGCGCUCAACGUGGGAACUGCCUUUGAAACUGGCAAACUGGAGUGUGUGAGAGGAUAGUGGAAUUCCAGGUGUAGGAGUGAAAUCCGUAGAUAUCUGGAGGAACAUCAGUGGCGAAGGCGACUAUCUGGCACAUAACUGACGCUGAGGAGCGAAAGCGUGGGUAGCAAACAGGAUUAGAUACCCUUGUAGUC